AUUGAACGCUGGCGGCAUGCCUAACACAUGCAAGUCGAGCGGAGCGGCGGACGGGGGAGUAAUGGCUAGGAAUCUGCCUGGUCGUGGGGGAUAACGUCCGGUACCGGGCGCUAAUACCGCAUACUCUCAGUUGAGCCUCGGUCGGAUUAGCUAGUGGGUGGGGUAAAGGCCUACCAAGGCGACGAUCCGUAACUGGUCUGAGAGGAUGAUCAGUCACACUGGAACUGAGACACGGUCCAGACUCCUACGGGAGGCAGCAGUGGGGAAUAUUGGACAAUGGGCGAAAGCCUGAUCCAGCCAUGCCGCGUGUGUGAAGAAGGUCUUCGGAUUGUAAAGCACUUUAAGUUGGGAGGCGUUACCAACAGAAUAAGCACCGGCUAACUUCGUGCCAGCAGCCGCGGUAAUAC
This 407-nucleotide ribosomal RNA is filed under the name uncultured bacterium. RNAcentral describes it as "partial 16S ribosomal RNA". It matches the Rfam family "Bacterial small subunit ribosomal RNA", at positions 30 to 526 of the family's 1533-position model. The record is from RNAcentral.